AGGUAUCAUUUGUAACCGUGGAGCGGGGAGAGAAACGCGAAUGUUAAACAACCCACCCGAGCGGCUGACUGGUCGAUUCAGGCGCUGGGCUCCUCAGGGAUGCUGAGGAGAGGGAGGUGUGCUCCGGCAAGUGAGCUGACACCAAGGCCUGUUAAUGGCCUGGCCUCGACAUCUGGUGACCUCACAGUGGCGUUCACUGUCCAGACUGAAUCCUACCUAGAUAGUGCAAGAUUUAAAAGGGUCAGGUGUGGUAGCCCUUGCCUGUAAUCUCAGCGCUGAAGAGGCUGAGGUGUGAGGAUGGGGAGUUGGAGGCCGGGCUGGGCUACACAGAGGAGAGCCGGUCUCAAAAAACAAACAAACAAACAAACAAACAAAAACCAAGCAAACCUGAAAAGAAGAAAGGAGUCUUCCUCAGUCAGUGCCCUGAAGCUCAGGGACACCUCCCUCCUGAGAACACGGCUUUGAAAAGUGCUAGUGAUCAGAAGGACUAAUGUUGGACGAUGCUGUGUUGGCUCAACCUUGUCACAGGCAUUUCCAAUUUGGAGACAUAAAGAACUGAGAACUUGGGGAUCCACUGAGGUCUGAGGCAUGGUGGUACCGGAAGAAAUUAAGGGACCUUCAGAAUGAAACUGGUCCCCCGUUGACAGUACUCUGACUUCUCCAUCAGGCUCUAUCAACAUGUCUACGGUGAGGUUGGUGACACUGUCUGCAGUAUUUAUAACAUGACUGAGGAAGAAGGAAGGAGGAGAACAGAAGGUGGUAAAGGUGAAGCCUCAGCUGUGGCCACAUAGCUCAGGUUCCUACAUCUUGAUCCUGAAUUUUCAAGGGUGACUAUGGCUUUUUAGCAUCUGACGACUCAUGUGACUUUGUUUCAAGUCUCAACUGCAGCCAGCCAAAGGUCAGUUCAAAAUUAGAGUGGACAAAGAGGUGGUCUUUAUGUUGUCUAUCUAUGUCUACACCAAAUCCUACUUACCUGUAAGACCAGCGUCUGCAAAAGACUCCACAGUAGCUCCCACCCCAUAAACAGCGCUGCUUUCAUCUGUCGCCUAUGACAUACCAAUGAAGAAAUCACGGCGGCAUCGUGUCUCAAACUGCUAUGCAAAUGAUGCCAUUUGUAAGUAUUAACAUAAUUUAGUGCUUACAGUCAUAUUCUCAUUUCUAAUAAUUCUCCCAGAAUGGAGUCUUUCUCUGGACUCUUAGCCUGCAGGAUAGUCUUUCAUCAAGAAGCUGAAAUUUUUAAUAACCUGCCAGCAUAUGUUUUGUAUGUGCCAGGCUAGGCUUGAUGAUACAACAUCUUCAUUAUCAAAAGGAGCAGGUCUACAGACUGUAAUAGGACAUUAAAACACGCCUGUGCUCAUAAAGUAAUGCUUUGAUGUCUAAAUGUGCACCGUUACAAUGCUCUUCUGGAACAAAGGGGGCUUCCAAUCCUAAAUUCUCAAUAGCUACCCGCAGCUCCCCUCCACUCUAAGGAGGUUCCCUUUGAAGGCAUAAGCUGUCGUUAGUCCCUGCAAGAGGGAAGGGAGCUCACAGGGACUUCAUUUUAUUUUUAGCUUUGGCUUCUCACGCAUCAUAGCUAAGCAUGAGCCAUGCAUCAUAACAGGAUUUCUGAAUAAUUAUUUUUCCCUGUUAAGUUUUUUUUAAAUGAUUUAAAUAGAACAUUAAUUAUUUAAGAGUCUCAAAUUUAAUAACAUUAACAACAGUGCCAAAUGUAUUUGGUAACAAUUUAAAAUGGCAUAGUUUAAAAUAAUUGAAAUUAAAUAAUCUAUAGUGAGGUUUCUAACCACAAUUCAGCCAAAUGUCAGUACUGCAAAUAUUUUUAAAACUCAAAGUCAAACAUUUCAAAUUUAUCAUAGUCUAAUGUCAAGGGAAUUCUUUAAAAAUUAUUGGUUUGAAAUGCUGAGGCCAGCAAACACUGUAUACACUAGUAUUUUAAUUCUUUAAAAUAAAAGUGUCUAGACUUUUUCAUGGUUUAAACUCAACAGCUUUGCUUCACAAAGAUAAAAUCCAGUUCAAAGAGAACAUAAGAGAAACCUCUAUUGGCCUCAAAAUUAAAUACAUUUUCUUUGCUUUAUUUUUUUUCUAGAAGAGUAAUUCAUUUUGGUAUCCUUUAAAUAAUAUGUAAAGAGCUAGCCAUGACAGGUACUGCAUUUAGUCCGUUCACUGUUGGAGGGGGAAGAAAGCCCAGAAUAGAUCAUGGGGAGAACCGACCCAUUUGUUAAAAGGAACUCUCCUCCUGACUGUUCUCUAGAUUUAUUCAUCAUUUCACUUGCCCAGGAAUAAUGUGGUUCCCACCAGUGUUCCCCUUCCUUUCUAUCACUUGUGUCUUGAUUCAUAGACUUCUGUAGUGGGAUGCGCAAAGCAGAUGCAAAUCACUGCAAGGCCCACCGCUAUGCAUGCUGGGAGGAAAGGGAUCAUAUAAGGAGUUUGCCUGUCAAUUUUCUUUUUUGUAGUAGGGCAGGAAAAACAAGGUAGUGUGAUAAACAGAAGCUGGGUGUAAGGAUACAAAGUGGGACAGUGUGUCGAGGUCAGGUUAAACAUUAAACCAUGUACAGAUAUUAAGCAAAAUUGGAGCAGACUGAGGUUGUAUAAUUCAUUUCACCAACCUAUGUGGAAAGGUUUACACACCUCCACUCAUAGCCUGAGACCCUGAGCCUACUACUCAGCUUUUUCUGAAAGUUCUCUUCUGGGGUCUUUUCUUCUCUCAGCAUCUCAUAGGGACUAGUAGUUACAUAGGUUUCUUUAGAGUGUCUUCGAAAACAUGGCUCCUGACAGAAUGCUAUUUUACAUUAGCUUACAAUGACCACCAUUUGCUAGUAGAAUUCCUCAUAAUAAAACACAGCUAGCUUAAUCACCACGGUUGGCAGAAGCACAGAAACUGCUCAGGGCAGAUGCUAAGAUUUGUAAUGCUACCUGACUAUGGUCUUUUAGUCAUUUCUUAGGUAUCAUAUCAGUUUGACGUUGUGAAAAAAGAUGUUUUGGCCCCCCAAAUGGACAUUUAAGUAACGCAAUAAGUCCAUUCAUAUUGUUCGUUAGGACUAAGGCCCAGGAAAGGCUCUGCUGAUAGAUGACAGGGCUAAGUCUGGGAGAAAGGAUCUUAUCUCCUGAC
This is a long non-coding RNA of Peromyscus californicus insignis, 3106 nucleotides long. RefSeq lists it as uncharacterized. The record is from RefSeq and is a predicted model, not a curated record. The transcript is spliced from 5 exons. Lineage: Eukaryota; Metazoa; Chordata; Mammalia; Rodentia; Cricetidae.